Molecule: ribosomal RNA, 483 nt
Filed under: uncultured bacterium
Lineage: Bacteria
Description: bacterial SSU rRNA
Rfam family: Bacterial small subunit ribosomal RNA
Source: RNAcentral
UGAACGGCUGGCGGCGUGCUUAACACAUGCAAGUCGAACGAAGAAGAGUUGAAUGAGAGCUUCGGCAGGAUUUCUUCUCAUCUUAGUGGCGGACGGGUGAGUAACGUGUGGGCAACCUGCCCUAUACUGGGGAAUAAUCACUGGAAACGGUGACUAAUACCGCAUGUCAUCACCGGAGGGCAUCCUCUGGUGAAAAAAGGAGCAAUUCGGUAUAGGAUGGGCCCGCAUCUGAUUAGCUAGUUGGUGAGAUAACAGCCCACCAAGGCGACGAUCAGUAGCCGACCUGAGAGGGUGAUCGGCCACAUUGGGACUGAGACACGGCCCAGACUCCUACGGGAGGCAGCAGUGGGGAAUAUUGCGCAAUGGGGGCAACCCUGAUGCAGCAACGCCGCGUGAAGGAUGAAGGUUUUCGGAUCGUAAACUUCUAUCAACAGGGACGAAUAAAUGACGGUACCUGAAUAAGAAGCCCCGGCUAACUACGUG